UACGGGGGGGGCAAGCGUUGUUCGGAAUUACUGGGCGUAAAGGGCUCGUAGGCGGCCAACUAAGUCGGAUGUGAAAUCCCCAGGCUUAACCUGGGAACUGCAUCCGAUACUGGAUGGCUUGAAUCCGGGAGAGGGAUGCAGAAUUCCAGGUGUAGCGGUGAAAUGACGUAGAUAUCUGGAGGAACACCGGUGGCGAAGGCGGCAUCCUGGACCAACACUGACACUGGAGGAGCGAAAGCCAGGGGAGCAAACGGGAGUUAG
This 261-nucleotide ribosomal RNA is filed under the name uncultured bacterium. RNAcentral describes it as "partial 16S ribosomal RNA". It matches the Rfam family "Bacterial small subunit ribosomal RNA", at positions 524 to 781 of the family's 1533-position model. The record is from RNAcentral.